RNAcentral lists this ribosomal RNA (441 nucleotides) under uncultured bacterium. RNAcentral describes it as "bacterial SSU rRNA". It matches the Rfam family "Bacterial small subunit ribosomal RNA", at positions 20 to 507 of the family's 1533-position model. The record is from RNAcentral.
UGGCUCAGAACGAACGCUGGCGGCAUGCCUAACACAUGCAAGUCGAACGAGACCUUCGGGUCUAGUGGCGCACGGGUGCGUAACGCGUGGGAAUCUGCCCUGGGGUGCGGAAUAACUCGGAGAAAUCCGUGCUAAUACCGCAUAAUGUCUUCGGACCAAAGAUUUAUCGCCCUGGGAUGAGCCCGCGUAGGAUUAGCUAGUUGGUGGGGUAAAGGCCUACCAAGGCGACGAUCCUUAGCUGGUCUGAGAGGAUGAUCAGCCACACUGGGACUGAGACACGGCCCAGACUCCUACGGGAGGCAGCAGUGGGGAAUAUUGGACAAUGGGCGAAAGCCUGAUCCAGCAAUGCCGCGUGAGUGAUGAAGGCCCUAGGGUUGUAAAGCUCUUUUACCCGGGAUGAUAAUGACAGUACCGGGAGAAUAAGCUCCGGCUAACUCCGUG